ACGGAGAGUCCGGCGUAGGGACAAGUAAAACCUCCGUUUUCAUUUGCGUCAUAGGUUUGUGUACUCUCGUUCAUUUGAGGGCCAACUGGCCUCAUACAGAUAACUGAAAACACACUACAGAAAUCAGCGAGAACAUACUGAGAAAAAAAGCUGUCUUCUAAAUUCACGAUGCGAGGACUUCAUUUCGUCUUUUUGCUAAUCGCAGCGUGAAUAAUCUAAACCAUAGAAUAUCUUAAAAUUAAGGUAUAAUGUGAGAGAUCCCCCGGCCUAGUUAUUUACUUAUCACGUCGUGUCUUAUCAAGUUUAGUUUUAAAUUUCCAUUCGAUUUCAUAACAAUUUAAUAAUGUAUCUUUUGUGAAAAGGGAAAGCGGUUGGGUCGGACGAAUAGGUCAAAUUACCCUCUUAUUUGGGCCAACCUGCAAUCUGUUGGUCAAAUUAUUGUCUGUUUGAGGGGGUGCUGCUUCAGUAUUUAAAUCCGUUAUACAUUCAUUCAUAGAGCUCCAAUCGUCCAUCACACUCAGGACAGUGCCUACCAACAGCGGUGAUAGCUUAAUCACUGACCCAUAACCAUUCGGGCUCAGUAGGCUAUCGCUUGAAUGAUAUUACAAGCUUUAUGCGUCUGUCUCGUCCUCAUAUUACAGCGUAGAACCGUGGCCAUGUUUAACUAUAUCAUUAGACGAAGAAUCCAGCGAAACUGUUGGGAAAGACAACCGUUUGGAUAUAAUAAAGUCGGCUAAGAAGAUAGGACGAAUUGAUAAAUCCUUCGGAUUUGCCUCAGAGUUCUACAAUGCCUCAUAAAAAGACACCCCGGAUCAUGCUGGACUUGUUCAACGCAGUGGAACAGUGGAAUGCCGGGAACCAGGAAAAAUUAGAGGGCAAUGUGGUGCGGAGCUUCGAGGACAGAGGCAAAAACAACGACUUUUCCUUGGGAAGUCAUAUGGACCCCAUUUCUACAAGGUAGACCUCUAUGAGGUGUUAGACAGCAGAGCGAAACUUUGGAGAUGGAAUCUAAUCACGUCAAGACUGUUACCCUUAUACACUCAGGGUUGGAAAGUAUUCAACGUCACACAAACGGUGUCCAAGUGGAUUUGCAGGAUUCGCAACAGCGAGGAGAAUAAUGGAAUUCAGCCAGGCCACAACACCUGACAGUCCGAAGGUAGCACCAAGUUAUCCCCGCAGCCGCCCCAUGUCAUGCCAGCGGAUCCCCCUCUUUGUGGACUUCGAGGUAAUCGGCUGGGCUGGCUGGAUCGUUUCUCCACGGGGUUACAAUGCUUACUACUGCAAGAGCUCCUGUCCGUUUCCACUCGGAAAGAGUUUCCGUGCCACGAAUCACGCGACUGUGCAGUCUGUCAUGCACGCUCCAAAGCUCUCCAAUGAGGAGGAAAACGUGGUUCUGAAACAGUAUGACGAUAUGGUUUCGUUUUGAACAGCUUUCAGAAAUCUUGGUUGAAUUGAAAAUAUUAACAGUAUGUCCAGUGAUUCAUGUAUAAAUGUAUGUUUUUGUAAGAAAUAAAAGUUGGUUGUUGCAAUUGAA
Oncorhynchus mykiss (rainbow trout) is the source of this 1534-nucleotide non-coding RNA. The record is from RefSeq and is a predicted model, not a curated record. NCBI's taxonomy places the organism in Eukaryota, Metazoa, Chordata, Actinopteri, Salmoniformes, Salmonidae.